GUACUUUUCUAUUCCAUAACAAAAAAAUUGAUUUAAUUCUGACAGGCGGCGGAAAGAAACCACUGAUUGCAGGUGGAGUUAUAGGUCUCAUGCUUUCGGGAAUUAUUAUGAUGGCACUCUAUGAGUGUUAUAGCUCAAGCAAAAUUGAAAGAGAGAAUCAAGCCAGAGUUGAAAAGUUUUUGGAAGACUAUAGAGCUCGCAGACCGACUAGAUAUACUUAUGCAGAUAUUAAGAAGAUAACAAAUCAGUUUCAGGAAAUAUUGGGAGAGGGAGCUUAUGGGAUCGUUUAUAAAGGAGUAACCUAACUGUUCCUUCUCCUUUUACAACAAGAAACACCACCCAUGUAGGUCCUUCUACGCAAGAGUUGACGAUAAUCUCAGAACUAGAAUGAAUGGAAGCCUUAAUUACAGAUCAACUCCUUCAUCUAAAGUUGUAAUGUCAGAGUCAAUACAAGUGGAAGUCUGAAUUUUGGUAUUUUCA
Molecule: long non-coding RNA, 480 nt
Organism: Solanum tuberosum (potato)
Lineage: Eukaryota; Viridiplantae; Streptophyta; Magnoliopsida; Solanales; Solanaceae
Exons: 2
Source: RefSeq, a predicted model, not a curated record